RNAcentral lists this ribosomal RNA (397 nucleotides) under uncultured bacterium. RNAcentral's name for it is "partial 16S ribosomal RNA". It matches the Rfam family "Bacterial small subunit ribosomal RNA", at positions 523 to 918 of the family's 1533-position model. The record is from RNAcentral.
AUACGUAGGUGGCAAGCGUUGUCCGGAUUUAUUGGGCGUAAAGCGAGCGCAGGCGGUUUCUUAAGUCUGAUGUGAAAGCCCCCGGCUCAACCGGGGAGGGUCAUUGGGAACUGGGAGACUUGAGUGCAGAAGAGGAGAGUGGAAUUCCAUGUGUAGCGGUGAAAUGCGUAGAUAUAUGGAGGAACACCAGUGGCGAAGGCGACUCUCUGGUCUGUAACUGACGCUGAGGCUCGAAAGCGUGGGGAGCAAACAGGAUUAGAUACCCUGGUAGUCCACGCCGUAAACGAUGAGUGCUAAGUGUUGGAGGGUUUCCGCCCUUCAGUGCUGCAGCUAACGCAUUAAGCACUCCGCCUGGGGAGUACGACCGCAAGGUUGAAACUCAAAGGAAUUGACGGGG